UUUGAAGUCUUGGCAGCUGUGUUUGACUGUGGCUCUGAAGGCCAGGCCUUCAGACCUUGGGUGGGUCCCUAGGAUGUGAUACAUGGCUUGAGCCUACUCUUGAGGUUCUCCAGUGAUCUGCUGGUUAGAGGCACAGCCCAUCUACCUGCAUAUUCUGGAGCUGAAAUGUCCACCUCUGGAGGAGGUUCAAUGAAUUUCGGAUAUGUACAAUAGAAGAAGAAACAAUGUGAUGAGAAGUCUACCUCUUUAACUCUUGAAAAAUCAUUGAAUGUAUCUGAAAGGUCAUUGCAUCACUGGACAGAAAGCUCUGUAAGGGAGAGUGCAUAUGAUAUUUUCUAGGUCUGCCCUUAGCUAUCCCAGCUGGAUCCAGCAAGAGGAGGUGGGAUAGUUACUCGGAACUUGCAAAAUUGUGCAACAUACUGUUAUAUUUUAAAACUGUUUUGGAACUUGGGGGUCAUAUGAUGUUCCUGGUGUAUAAUAAGGAUAAAGACAGUAACAGUUACUCAUUCUCCAUGUUUUUCUACAAUCAGAGCUGACUGCUUUUCUGACUGA
Molecule: long non-coding RNA, 552 nt
Organism: Corapipo altera (White-ruffed manakin)
Lineage: Eukaryota; Metazoa; Chordata; Aves; Passeriformes; Pipridae
Exons: 3
Source: RefSeq, a predicted model, not a curated record